Molecule: long non-coding RNA, 399 nt
Filed under: Citrus sinensis (sweet orange)
Lineage: Eukaryota; Viridiplantae; Streptophyta; Magnoliopsida; Sapindales; Rutaceae
Description: long non-coding RNA (CSIN_LNC001859)
Source: RNAcentral
UUAGCCAAAAUGAGAGACCCAGAUUGUGCUAAAGCUUGGAUCAAAUCCAACGUACAAGCUUACUUACCAGCCACCAAAAUCACUUGCAUCACUGUCGGCAAUGAAGUUUUAACCUUUAAUGACACCUCACUCAGUGGCUGCUUACUUCCUGCAAUGGAAAGUGUUCACACAGCAUUAGUGAAUCUCGGACUUGACAAACAAGUUAGUGUCACUACAGCUCAUUCUCUAGGUGUUCUUGGAAACUCAUACCCGCCUUCAGCUGGAGCUUUCCGUAAAGAUCUGGUGGAUUGUAUGACACCCAUCUUGGACUUUCAUGUCAAAACUGCCUCUCCAUUUUUGAUUAAUGCUUACCCUUAUUUUGCUUACAAGGGUAGUCCAAAGCAGGUGUCUCUAGAUUUU